This 631-nucleotide ribosomal RNA is filed under the name uncultured Bacillus sp. RNAcentral describes it as "bacterial SSU rRNA". It matches the Rfam family "Bacterial small subunit ribosomal RNA", at positions 56 to 669 of the family's 1533-position model. The record is from RNAcentral. Lineage: Bacteria; Bacillati; Bacillota; Bacilli; Caryophanales; Bacillaceae.
UGCAGUUCGAGCGGACAGAUGGGNGCUUGCNNNCUGAUGUUAGCGGCGGACGGGUGAGUAACACGUGGGUAACCUGCCUGUAAGACUGGGAUAACUCCGGGAAACCGGGGCUAAUACCGGAUGGUUGUCUGAACCGCAUGGUUCAGACAUAAAAGGUGGCUUCGGCUACCACUUACAGAUGGACCCGCGGCGCAUUAGCUAGUUGGUGAGGUAACGGCUCACCAAGGCGACGAUGCGUAGCCGACCUGAGAGGGUGAUCGGCCACACUGGGACUGAGACACGGCCCAGACUCCUACGGGAGGCAGCAGUAGGGAAUCUUCCGCAAUGGACGAAAGUCUGACGGAGCAACGCCGCGUGAGUGAUGAAGGUUUUCGGAUCGUAAAGCUCUGUUGUUAGGGAAGAACAAGUGCCGUUCAAAUAGGGCGGCACCUUGACGGUACCUAACCAGAAAGCCACGGCUAACUACGUGCCAGCAGCCGCGGUAAUACGUAGGUGGCAAGCGUUGUCCGGAAUUAUUGGGCGUAAAGGGCUCGCAGGCGGUUUCUUAAGUCUGAUGUGAAAGCCCCCGGCUCAACCGGGGAGGGUCAUUGGAAACUGGGGAACUUGAGUGCAGAAGAGGAGAGUGGAAUUC